Molecule: long non-coding RNA, 1224 nt
Organism: Culex quinquefasciatus (southern house mosquito)
Lineage: Eukaryota; Metazoa; Arthropoda; Insecta; Diptera; Culicidae
Exons: 3
Source: RefSeq, a predicted model, not a curated record
AUUGUUUCAGGACUCGCCCGCGGCAAGAAUGAUCUCCGCGAUCUGAUCAUUGCUUGAGUGUCCGAGGCAAAACUUCCGGAAAUAACUCGAUCGAAAGCAAUGACAACGAUUACGCUCCGAUUGCUCCGUUCCAUGUAAAAACCCCAACCGACCCCAUUUUUCCAAUUUCAAACAUCCUCACUGCUGCCAAGGCCACAACAGCAACAAGAAUCGCAGUAGGCAUUUGAAGGUGCUUUCCGGCAACACCUGGCACUGACAUAUGGAACAGUGACGUUGGCAUUGAUGGAGGUGGAGGUCGGCCAUAAAGUUACAACCGGUAGCCAUGUCGAUGAGUGGCACGACGAGUUGCGCAAUUUGGUUCUUUGUCAGGGCAGGUCAAACCCAAACUUCACUUUGCUUACAGGUCUUGAAGGCGCAGCGCAACUUAUACCGCGUCUUCGACGCGAUCCGUUUCCGGCGUUAUCAGUGAGCAGCUGGAGCAACCGGCUAUUUAAAACCAACGACAAGAUUAAUCACACACAUUCGCCGUCGGAAAUUUACGAGUCGCAACAUGAGGUCAUGCUUCAGAUUUAAUAAGUAGUGGACGUGGAGUUGGAGGUGGUGCCGAUGCAUUGAAGCGCAAUUCCCGAUGUUCGUCAAACAUCCCCUAGUCUCGUUCUGUUUAAUGCAACAGCAGCAUCACGAUGACGAUGUCGUGAUUAACCGGAAAUUUACGACAAACCCACCGGUAGUGACGCAACCGAUGCAAAGCGAACGCAACCGCCACAGUUACAAAACGUCAACCAAGAGCAUAUUGUGACCGUGAUCAAAUCGGAGGAAAAGCAGAAGGUCAUCAACGAGAAGCGGACCAUUUACGAUGCAACCAUAAUCGAGAUCACCUUCGUUUGUAUGCAGUUAGACCACGUGUCCGACCACGAGCGCUCCAACUAUGGCCAGUUCCCGAUCGACUCGCGACGAUCCACACCCAUCGAUCGAAUGUACUAUCCGCGUACACCGUAGCCCAAGCAACAUUCACAGCGACUUGGGGGACUGAAUGUGCAAACUAGUUGACGCGUCCUAGAUUCAAAAGCGGCCACGACCAGUAGUGAGACUCGUUCAAUUUGAUCUGUUUUUUGUAAUAUAACGGAAAUAAACUUUUAAAAAAUCUUCAAAUCAAAACAGUAACAAUUUUAAGAGAGAAAAAUCUAGGAAUAAAUCCUAUUCAUAAGUUUGCCAUAUAGACAC